This is a non-coding RNA of Cebus imitator (Panamanian white-faced capuchin), 2776 nucleotides long. The record is from the annotation of a RefSeq genome assembly. Lineage: Eukaryota; Metazoa; Chordata; Mammalia; Primates; Cebidae.
AUGGGGCCCUCCUCUUACCAAGACCAAGAACAGCAGGACAAGCUGGGGGCAGCUCCUGGAGCUCAGGGGAGCAGGGGAGAGCAUCUGAGGGUGAGCAGGGCCAGCGGGAGGCAGGACCAGCUGGGGCAGCUCCUGGAGCUCAGGAGCCCGGGGCAGAGCAGCUGCAGCUCCUGGAGCUCAGGGGAGCAGGGGAGAGCAUCUGAAGCCUCCAACAAGAAACCAGACGUCUUCCCCCUGACGCCCUGCUGCAACUCUGGGACCACAACGGCCCUGGGCUGCCUGGUCAAGGACUACUUCCCCCAGCCGGUGACCGUGUCCUGGAACUCGGGCUCCCUGACCAGCGGCGUGCACACCUUCCCGGCUGUCCUGCAGUCCUCAGGGCUUUACUCCCUCAGCAGCAUGGUGACCACCAGCAGUGCGGGCAGCCAGACCUACACCUGCAACGUCGUCCACACACCCACCAACUUCAAGAAGGACGUGACAGUGAAACGCGCCUGCAACACACCCUGUCCCCCAUGCCCAGCACCUGAUUUCCUGGCGGGACCGUCAGUCUUCCUCUUCCCCCCGAAACCCAAGGACAUCCUCAGGAUCACCGGGAGCCCUGAGGUCACGUGCGUGGUAGUGGACGUGAGCCAGGACGACCCCGAGGUCCAGUUCAACUGGUACGUGGACGGCGUGGAGGUGCGCACUGCCAAGACAAGUCCGAAGGAGGAGCAGUUCAACAGCACGUACCGCGUGGUCAGCGCGCUCCCCGUCCUGCACCAGGACUGGCUGAAGGGCAAGGAGUACAAAUGCAAGGUCACCAACAAAGCCCUCCCGGCCCCCGUCCAGAAAACCAUCCACAAAGCCAAAGGGACGCCCCGAGAGCCGCAGGUGUACACCCUGCCCCCAUCGCGGGAGGAGAUGAGCAGGAGCCAGGUCAGCCUGACCUGCCUGAUCCAGGGCUUCUACCCCAGCGACAUCGCCGUGGAGUGGGAGAGCAACGGGCAGCCGGAGAACAACUACAAGAACACACAGCCUGUGCUGGACUCGGAUGGCUCCUUCUUCCUCUACAGCAAGCUCACCGUGGACAAGCACAGGUGGCAGCAGGGGACCGUCUUCUCAUGCUCCGUGAUGCAUGAGGCUCUGCACAACCACUACACGCAGAAGAGCCUCUCCGCGUCUCCGGAGCUGAUACUAGAGGAGAGCUGUGUGGAGACGCAGGACGGGGAGCUGGACGGGCUCUGGACGACCAUCACCAUCUUCAUCACACUCUUCCUGCUGAGCGUGUGCUACAGUGCCACCGUCACCUUCUUCAAGGUGAAGUGGAUCUUCUCCUCGGUGGUGGACCUGAAGCAGACCAUCGUCCCCGACUACAGGAACAUGAUCGGGCAGGGGGCCUAGGGCCACCCUCUGCUGGAAGUCCAGGGCUGCCCAGACCCCACACAGGAGCCAUGGGCCAUGCUCAGCCGCCACCCAGGCCAUGCCUCCCCUGACCUCGCCGCCCUCGACCCCAUGGCUCUCCGGCCUCGCAGUCACCCUCUGACCUGCCAUACCUGAUGUGCCCCCCUUUGAGCCUGUGCAUAGCAGGUCUGUCCCAGAUUUCUGCUGCUUGGUGCGUGCAGGGCGCUGGGGCCAGGUGUCCCGUCAGCAGGACACCUCUACCCUCCAGCCCCCCAGCUGCUCACACAAAAGGGGGCAGCAGCCAGCAUCCCAGGCGCCCACCCAGACAGGAACCAGCCUGGAGCCAAUCCCGUCCACACCAGCCUCCUGAACACAGGCGUGGCCAGUGGGAGCUUCCACCACCAAGCCAGGAAGUCACAGCACCCUCGGGCCCUGCUGGGGAGGCUUCGGAGAGUGGAGAAUGCUCAGACGGCCUUCCUCCCGGCCGGUGGCCAGCCAGGCUCCAUUCUGGGCAGUCCCGUGAACUCCUGACAUGAGGAAUGAGGUUAAAGAACCCUGUUCUCUGGCUCCCGGGAAGACGCCUCCCAUGGAGCAGGGUCUCAGGUGCCAGCACCACCUCUUGGCUGCCUGCUCACGCUACUGCAUUCUCAGGACUGGAACUCAACCCGAAGGGACAGACAGCCCCAGAGUCUGCACUGGGAAGAGAAGGGGCCGGGCCCAGGACACUGCCACCUCCCACCCCACCCCACCCCACCAAGACCACUCGGAGAAGAGCCUGGGCCACGCGGCCACUGCAGCAGCCCCCACACCGUGCGAGGCCAGGGCAGCCCAGAGAAGAGGUGGGCAUCGGCCAGACAGGCCUACCUAGAGGGCCUGGUGACCAGGUCCCAGUUGGGCAAGAAUCAGCCUUGGUGGGGCCUGAGGACAGAGGAGGCCCAGGAGCACUGGGGAGAGACGUGUAGGGACGCCAGGGGAGCCAGGAGCAGAGGCACAGCCGGAAUCAUCCCUGAGGCUGAGUCCAGCCCCAGGGCACCUGCAGCAGGACCCAGCAGCCACUCUGGAGGCACGAGGCGGACGGGCAAGACCACAGAGAGGGUGCCGUGGCCUUGGGAGGCUAGGGCUGCUGGCCACGAGGGCUGCACAGAGGCCACCAUGCCCUGCUGCCCCCAUCACGCCUUUGGGCAAAUGUCAGGCAGAAUCCGCAGACAGGAAGAGACACGCGCGGGAGUGUGGCCGGCACCUGCCUCGGCCGUCGGGGGGACUCCCCGCCUCACUGGAAGGAGGUGCCAUGGUCUCAGCUUUGGUAGCUUUUGUUCUUUUAAAUUUUCUAAAGCCCAUUGAUUGUCUUGAAUGUUUCUUUUUAAUGACAAUAAAAUAUCCUUUUUAAGUCUUA